Molecule: ribosomal RNA, 473 nt
Filed under: uncultured bacterium
Lineage: Bacteria
Description: bacterial SSU rRNA
Rfam family: Bacterial small subunit ribosomal RNA
Source: RNAcentral
GACGAACGCUGGCGGCGUGCCUAACACAUGCAAGUCGAGCGGAGGUACUGAAGGAGUAAUCUGGAGGUACUUUAGCGGCGGACGGGUGAGUAACGCGUGAGCUACCUACCUUACACAGGGGGAUAACGGAGGGAAACCUUCACUAAUACCGCAUAAGACCACAGCACCGCAUGGUGCGGGGGUCAAAGGAGCAAUCCGGUGGAAGAUGGGCUCGCGUCCUAUUAGAUAGUUGGUGGGGUAACGGCCUACCAAGUCUACGAUCAGUAGCCGGACUGAGAGGUCGGACGGCCACAUUGGAACUGAGAUACGGUCCAGACUCCUACGGGAGGCAGCAGUGGGGAAUAUUGGGCAAUGGGCGAAAGCCUGACCCAGCGACGCCGCGUGAGGGAAGAAGGUCUUCGGAUUGUAAACCUCUGUUGACAGGGACGAAGGAAGUGACGGUACCUGUUGAGGAAGCCACGGCUAACUACGUG